Long non-coding RNA from Anopheles cruzii, 326 nucleotides. RefSeq lists it as uncharacterized. The transcript is spliced from 3 exons. The record is from RefSeq and is a predicted model, not a curated record. Lineage: Eukaryota; Metazoa; Arthropoda; Insecta; Diptera; Culicidae.
CCACAAUUGAAGUGUUUGGUAAUUGAUUCAAAGGAAGUAACAGGUGAUGUUCUUCAAUUUAUCUGCGAAAAUUUCCGCAGUCUCACUUGCUUGAAAGUGCAAUGGUUAAGUAAGAGAGAAGGUGAUGGUCUCUCCCGAAUGAACUGUUUACCAUUUCUUCGAAAAUUGGACUUACGUAUACAAGGUAGAUUCAAAUGGUACAUGCAUAGCAUGCCUCGCACCAAGGUUCGCUACUUAACACUUCGCGGCAAUUGGAAACUAAAUUCCACCGAACUGCUUAAGCUACCGGACAUUUUCCCUCAGCUCGAGCGACUAACUUUGAUACC